UACGUAGGGGGCGAGCGUUGUCCGGAAUCACUGGGCUUAAAGGGCGCGUAGGCGGGUACUCAAGUCUGUGGUGAAAUCCUCCGGCUCAACCGGAGAACUGCCAUGGAUACUGGCGGUCUUGAGCCAUCUAGGGGUUGCUGGAACAAACGGUGGAGCGGUGAAAUGCGUAGAUAUCGUUUGGAACGCCAAUGGUGAAAACAGGCAACUGGGGAUGUGCUGACGCUGAGACACGAAAGCCAGGGGAGCAAACGGG
RNAcentral lists this ribosomal RNA (253 nucleotides) under uncultured bacterium. Its description in RNAcentral is "partial 16S ribosomal RNA". It matches the Rfam family "Bacterial small subunit ribosomal RNA", at positions 524 to 776 of the family's 1533-position model. The record is from RNAcentral.